GGUUUGAUCAUGGCUCAGAUUGAACGCUGGCGGGAUGCUUUACAAUAUGCAAGUCGAACGGGCAGCACGGACUUCGGUCUGGUGGCGAGUGGCGAAACGCAGUAAUGUAAUGAAUGUGCCUAGUAGCGGGGGGAUAACUACGCGAAAGCGUAGCUACGCGACUGCACAACAUUCCUUCGGGGAAAGCGGACCUUCGGGCCUCGCACUAUUAGAGCGGCCGAUAUCGGAUUAGCUAGUUGGUGGGGUAACGGCUCGCUCGCGACGAUCCGUAGCUGGUUUGAGAGGACGACCAGCCACACUGGACUGAGACACGGCCCAGACUCCUACGGGAGGCAGGUGGUGGGGAAUUUUAGCUGGCUGGGGUCCUGAUCACCAGCGAGCUCCGAAAAAGGGGUAGCGAAGGCUCUGGGUUGUAAAGCACUUUUGGCAGGAAAGAAACGGCACGGAUAAUACCCCGUGCAACUGACGGUACCUGCAGAAUAAGCACUGGCGACCACGCCGGCGAAGCCGGCAAUACGUAGGGUGCAAGCGUUAAUCGGAAUUACUGUAUGCAAGCGCGCAGGCGGUUCGGAAAGAAAGAUGUGAAAUCCCAGAGCUUAACUUUGGAACUGCAUUUUUAACUACCGAGUCAGAGUGCCGAGGGAGGUGGAAUUCGCAGUGAAAUGCGUAGAUAUGCGGAGGAACACCGAUGGCGAAGGCAGCCUCCUGGGAUAACACUGACGCUCAUGCACGAAAGCGUGGGGAGCAAACAGGAUUAGAUAUGUUCCGGUAGUCCACGCCCUAAACGAUGUCAACUAGCUGUUGGGGCCUUCGGGCCUUGGUAGCGCAGCUAACGCGUGAAGCACCGCCUGGGGAGCAUGGUCAAAGAUUAAAACUCAAAGGAAUUGGACGGGACCCGCACAAGCGGUGGAUGAUGUGGAUUAAUUCGAUGCAAACGCGAAAAAACCUUACCUACCCUUGACAUGUCUGGAAUCCCGAAGAGAUUUGGGAGUGCUCAAGAGAACCGGAACACAGGUGCUGCAUGGCUGUCGUCAGCUCGUGUCGUGAGAUGUUGGGUUAAGUCCCGCAACGAGCGCAACCCUUGUCAUUAGUUGGUUACGAAAGGGCAUCAUCGAGACUGUUGCGAAUAAACUGGAGGAAGUGGGGAUGACGUCAAGUCCUCAUGGCCCUUAUGGGUAGGGCUUCACACGUCAUACAAUGGUCGGGACAGAGGGCUCAACCCGCGAGGGGGAGCCAAUCCUGCAGAAACCCGAUCGUAGUCCGAUCGCAGUCUGCAACUCGACUGCGUGAAGUCGGAAUCGCUAGUAAUCGCGGAUCAGCAUGUCGCGGUGAAUACGUUCCUGGUCUUGUACACAACGGCCCGUCACACCAGGUGGGAGUGGGUUUUACCAGAAGUAGUUAGCCUAACCGUGGAAGAGGGCAUUUACCAUUGUGGGAUUCAUGACUGGGGUGAAGUCGUAACAAGGUAA
Molecule: ribosomal RNA, 1469 nt
Filed under: uncultured Bordetella sp.
Lineage: Bacteria; Pseudomonadati; Pseudomonadota; Betaproteobacteria; Burkholderiales; Alcaligenaceae
Description: partial 16S-23S ribosomal RNA intergenic spacer
Rfam family: Bacterial small subunit ribosomal RNA
Source: RNAcentral